GGCAUUCUAGAUAGCCAUGCAUGCCUUCGAUAGAAGAGCAAGUCUCUCUGAAUCUGCGUACGGCUCCGCAAACCAGUUGUAAACCAUAGCUAGCAGGCCUCGGAGACGACCGCAAGGUCGUAGCUGGGGCCAAAAGGAUAUCCAUGGUAAUUCUGAGGCUAAUACUUGACUGUAACCCCUGGCUGACCGGGCAACUGGUAGGCUGGGGGACGUGUACGGCUUCGCACACCAUUAAGGAAUGAAUGCACGUUCAGACCGCUUUUCAACACAGAUAGGGGGUAAUCCUUCGGGAGAUAACCCCUGCCUGAGCGGCUCUAGCACGGUGCUUCUGACCUAUCAACUAGAUGGCAGCGUAACGGACAUGCUAUGGUGACAACGGGUACAGAU
RNAcentral lists this ribosomal RNA (387 nucleotides) under Didymium megalosporum. RNAcentral's name for it is "SSU rRNA". It matches the Rfam family "Eukaryotic small subunit ribosomal RNA", at positions 47 to 367 of the family's 1831-position model. Lineage: Eukaryota; Evosea; Eumycetozoa; Physariida; Didymiaceae. The record is from RNAcentral.